RNAcentral lists this transfer RNA (73 nucleotides) under Ovis aries (sheep). It matches the Rfam family "tRNA". From Rfam's summary of the family: Transfer RNA (tRNA) molecules are approximately 80 nucleotides in length. Their secondary structure includes four short double-helical elements and three loops (D, anti-codon, and T loops). The record is from Rfam by way of RNAcentral. Lineage: Eukaryota; Metazoa; Chordata; Mammalia; Artiodactyla; Bovidae.
UUCCCGGCGGUCUAGUGGUUAGGACUCGGCACUUUCACUGCCGAGGGCCCAGGUUCAAUCCUUGGUCAGGAAA